CCUACGGGAGGCAGCAGUGGGGAAUAUUGGGCAAUGGGCGCAAGCCUGACCCAGCAACGCCGCGUGAAGGAAGAAGGCUUUCGGGUUGUAAACUUCUUUUCUCAGGGACGAAACAAGUGACGGUACCUGAGGAAUAAGCCACGGCUAACUACGUGCCAGCAGCCGCUGUAAUACGUCGGUGGCAAGCGUUAUGCGGAUUUACUGGGUGUAAAGGGCGGGUAGGCGGGAAAGCAAGUCAGAUGUGAAAACCAUGGGCUCAACCUGUGGCCUGCAUUUGAAACUGUUUUUCUUGAGUACUGGAGAGGCAGACGGAAUGCGUAGUGUAGCGGUGAAAUGCGUAGAUAUUAGGAGGAACACCAGUGGCGAAGGCGGUCUGCUGGACAGCAACUGACGCUGAGGCGCGAAAGCGUGGGGAGCAAACAGGAUUAGAUACCCCUGUAGUC
This 443-nucleotide ribosomal RNA is filed under the name uncultured bacterium. RNAcentral describes it as "partial 16S ribosomal RNA". It matches the Rfam family "Bacterial small subunit ribosomal RNA", at positions 338 to 795 of the family's 1533-position model. The record is from RNAcentral.